This is a long non-coding RNA of Amphiprion ocellaris (clown anemonefish), 1423 nucleotides long. RefSeq lists it as uncharacterized. The record is from RefSeq and is a predicted model, not a curated record. NCBI's taxonomy places the organism in Eukaryota, Metazoa, Chordata, Actinopteri, Pomacentridae. The transcript is spliced from 2 exons.
GGCACAGAAAAUCUGCACUGCGCGUACAUACACAAAAAAGUCCAACCUAAAUUGAAAAUAAAAUAAACAUGUAGCAAUUCAUUCUGUGCUAUUUUUCAAUGUGAGUCAGUGAGUGACCGGUGACUGGCUGCUGCAGCCAAUGAUGCGAUUCACAUACGUAUUUACCAUAGACUGUAUAUAAUGGUAUUUACACAGCUAAUCAACGUUAGGCGUCCUUAUGUGCAGCCACCGUUGCUCUCAUAGAUAUGAAUGAGUAGAUAGGACACGCCCCUUUGAGCUGCGUGCUACAGCGAGGCUAAGCUAGUGGGGGCAAAGUUUCAGUGCAUUCAGGUGAUGGAUGUAGACGGCGUGAAAACGGAAACAACAAGUAUGCCGUCUCACUGUGCUGCAUACAGUUACACACUACGUCGUACGAUUGAGACAAGGAAACUUGGAAUGACUUUUCAUAGGUAAGAAUAGUUCUUGGCUCUUUUUUCAUUAUGAAAUCUUGUUGAGAGCUUCCAGUCUAUGAGAGCUAACUAGUUAGCCACUAGCAAAACGCUAAGGCGAGCAAGCAGCUUGACAACCAAAUACCAGACGAUUAAUAGUAGCUGUAGUAUAGUUGUACAAGCAGUAGUAGUAAUACUAAAAGUACAACAGCAGUAGUAGUAUAAACAGCUGUUAGAGUCGUAGAAGUAGUAUCAGCAUUUGUAAUAGUAUUCCAAGUUGUAGUAUUGCAUUACUAUUACUACCACCAAUACUACCAAUAGUAGUUAUAAAGCCUAACUCAUAUAUAUCCAGAUUACCAUCUAUGUUCUUCCUCCAAACCCAUUUUAUGAUUAGGAUUACAGGCAGUUCUUUAGGACUGCUCUCAAAUAAUUGAAAUGUUACUAAACAAUGUUAUACUUAUUAAAUUAAAUAGCUCUGGUCUCCAGUAUAUUGGUGAAUUCAGUUCUUUGUACUUAAUUUAUUAGCAUGAUAUUUUUUUUUAAUAUGUUGUGUACAGACUUACUUACUUCUCUGUCUACUUUUCUUACUCCAUGUAGGUUUCCCAGAGACUAUGGGUUGAGGAGGAAGUGGACGUUUGUCAGCUUAGACCUGGUGUCAUUCCAUCAGUGUUAAACUUCCCGGCUCAUCUUGGAAGAGUACGUGCCAGAAAGACCACGACCAAGCAGCCUUGAGAUCUUAGACAGCGUCUCCCUCAGGUCCCUCUCUAUCUCCACACAUCCACCAACCACUGGAACACAUCUCCAAAGUUCUGCCGGUCCAGCUCAGCUUCCCCUCAGAAGAAGUGCCGCCACCUGCCAGAUGAAGGAGCCUUUUGAGAGGCAGCUGGCAUCGUGAUUGGACUGUACUUUGGUCUGUUCCAAUCCAGCUUCAGCUCCAGAGACGGCAGGCGGGACGAGUCAACGGAGGCCGGGUGGACGAAGGCAUGAAGCUGAGU